UUAGGUUCAUGCAAGUGGGUCUUAAUAGGUCAGGAUAUAAAGAUGAGUCAUUUAUUCUAGCAUAACAAGCUCAACAAGUAUUUUAUGUUAGUGACGCAACUGAUAUGAAAUGGUCCAUUGUUCUUUUAACUAACAAAAUAAUCGUCAAUAAUAUUGAUAACUAAGAAUAUGAAGAUAGUGAUGAAGAUGAUCUUUUUUUGGACAUAUCAGUUGCGUGAGAGCGGACCAACUACGGAUGACGAUUUAUAUUAAAGAGAUGAUCACGAUGAAGGGCUUUGAGUAAAUCAAUAUGCUCCUCUAGACAAG
This 306-nucleotide long non-coding RNA is filed under the name Lupinus angustifolius (narrow-leaved blue lupine). RNAcentral describes it as "long non-coding RNA (LANG_LNC001224)". Lineage: Eukaryota; Viridiplantae; Streptophyta; Magnoliopsida; Fabales; Fabaceae. The record is from RNAcentral.